This 336-nucleotide ribosomal RNA is filed under the name Aspidiophorus sp. 214385640. RNAcentral's name for it is "SSU rRNA". It matches the Rfam family "Eukaryotic small subunit ribosomal RNA", at positions 155 to 487 of the family's 1831-position model. The record is from RNAcentral. Lineage: Eukaryota; Metazoa; Gastrotricha; Chaetonotida; Chaetonotidae.
AAUUCUAGAGCUAAUACAUGCAACAGGCCCUGACGUUAUGGAGGGGCGCUUUUAUUAGAUCAAAAUCAAUCAGGUCUCGUGCCUGUAAAUUGUGAUGACUCUGGAUAACUUUGUGCCGACCGCWUGGCCUUGCGCCGGCGGCGUAUCUUUCAAAUGUCUGCCCUAUCAACUUUCGAUGGUACGUGAUAUGCCUACCAUGGUUGUAACGGGUAACGGAGAAUCAGGGUUCGAUUCCGGAGAGGGAGCCUGAGAAACGGCUACCACAUCCAAGGAAGGCAGCAGGCGCGCAAAUUACCCACUCCCGGCACGGGGAGGUAGUGACGAAAAAUAACAAUG